RNAcentral lists this ribosomal RNA (314 nucleotides) under uncultured soil bacterium. RNAcentral's name for it is "bacterial SSU rRNA". It matches the Rfam family "Bacterial small subunit ribosomal RNA", at positions 26 to 320 of the family's 1533-position model. The record is from RNAcentral.
AGGACGAACGCUGGCGGCGUGCUUAACACAUGCAAGUCGAGCGGUAAGGCCUUUCGGGGUACACGAGCGGCGAACGGGUGAGUAACACGUGGGUGAUCUGCCCUGCACUUCGGGAUAAGCCUGGGAAACUGGGUCUAAUACCGGAUAUGACCUCAGGUUGCAUGACUUGGGGGUGGAAAGUAUUUAUCGGGUGCGAGGAGUCGGGGCCCGCGGCCUAGUCCAGUCUUGGUUGGGUGGAAGUUAAUCGGGCCUAACCGAGGGUCGACGGACGGGUAGCCCGACCUGAGGAGGGUCGACCGGCCACGACCGGGACU